GGUUAAGCGACUAAGCGUACACGGUGGAUGCCCUGGCAGUCAGAGGCGAUGAAGGACGUGCUAAUCUGCGAUAAGCGUCGGUAAGGUGAUAUGAACCGUUAUAACCGGCGAUUUCCGAAUGGGGAAACCCAGUGUGAUUCGUCACACUAUCAUUAACUGAAUCCAUAGGUUAAUGAGGCGAACCGGGGGAACUGAAACAUCUAAGUACCCCGAGGAAAAGAAAUCAACCGAGAUUCCCCCAGUAGCGGCGAGCGAACGGGGAGCAGCCCAGAGCCUGAAUCAGUGUGUGUGUUAGUGGAAGCGUCUGGAAAGGCGCGCGAUACAGGGUGACAGCCCCGUACACAAAAAUGCACAUGCUGUGAGCUCGAUGAGUAGGGCGGGACACGUGGUAUCCUGUCUGAAUAUGGGGGGACCAUCCUCCAAGGCUAAAUACUCCUGACUGACCGAUAGUGAACCAGUACCGUGAGGGAAAGGCGAAAAGAACCCCGGCGAGGGGAGUGAAAAAGAACCUGAAACCGUGUACGUACAAGCAGUGGGAGCACAGAGCAAUCUGUGUGACUGCGUACCUUUUGUAUAAUGGGUCAGCGACUUAUAUUCUGUAGCAAGGUUAACCGAAUAGGGGAGCCGAAGGGAAACCGAGUCUUAACUGGGCGUUAAGUUGCAGGGUAUAGACCCGAAACCCGGUGAUCUAGCCAUGGGCAGGUUGAAGGUUGGGUAACACUAACUGGAGGACCGAACCGACUAAUGUUGAAAAAUUAGCGGAUGACUUGUGGCUGGGGGUGAAAGGCCAAUCAAACCGGGAGAUAGCUGGUUCUCCCCGAAAGCUAUUUAGGUAGCGCCUCGUGAAUUCAUCUCCGGGGGUAGAGCACUGUUUCGGCAAGGGGGUCAUCCCGACUUACCAACCCGAUGCAAACUGCGAAUACCGGAGAAUGUUAUCACGGGAGACACACGGCGGGUGCUAACGUCCGUCGUGAAGAGGGAAACAACCCAGACCGCCAGCUAAGGUCCCAAAGUCAUGGUUAAGUGGGAAACGAUGUGGGAAGGCCCAGACAGCCAGGAUGUUGGCUUAGAAGCAGCCAUCAUUUAAAGAAAGCGUAAUAGCUCACUGGUCGAGUCGGCCUGCGCGGAAGAUGUAACGGGGCUAAACCAUGCACCGAAGCUGCGGCAGCGACGCUGAUGCGUUGUUGGGUAGGGGAGCGUUCUGUAAGCCUGCGAAGGUGUGCUGUGAGGCAUGCUGGAGGUAUCAGAAGUGCGAAUGCUGACAUAAGUAACGAUAAAGCGGGUGAAAAGCCCGCUCGCCGGAAGACCAAGGGUUCCUGUCCAACGUUAAUCGGGGCAGGGUGAGUCGACCCCUAAGGCGAGGCCGAAAGGCGUAGUCGAUGGGAAACAGGUUAAUAUUCCUGUACUUGGUGUUACUGCGAAGGGGGGACGGAGAAGGCUAUGUUGGCCGGGCGACGGUUGUCCCGGUUUAAGCGUGUAGGCUGGUUUUCCAGGCAAAUCCGGAAAAUCAAGGCUGAGGCGUGAUGACGAGGCACUACGGUGCUGAAGCAACAAAUGCCCUGCUUCCAGGAAAAGCCUCUAAGCAUCAGGUAACAUCAAAUCGUACCCCAAACCGACACAGGUGGUCAGGUAGAGAAUACCAAGGCGCUUGAGAGAACUCGGGUGAAGGAACUAGGCAAAAUGGUGCCGUAACUUCGGGAGAAGGCACGCUGAUAUGUAGGUGAAGUCCCUCGCGGAUGGAGCUGAAAUCAGUCGAAGAUACCAGCUGGCUGCAACUGUUUAUUAAAAACACAGCACUGUGCAAACACGAAAGUGGACGUAUACGGUGUGACGCCUGCCCGGUGCCGGAAGGUUAAUUGAUGGGGUUAGCGCAAGCGAAGCUCUUGAUCGAAGCCCCGGUAAACGGCGGCCGUAACUAUAACGGUCCUAAGGUAGCGAAAUUCCUUGUCGGGUAAGUUCCGACCUGCACGAAUGGCGUAAUGAUGGCCAGGCUGUCUCCACCCGAGACUCAGUGAAAUUGAACUCGCUGUGAAGAUGCAGUGUACCCGCGGCAAGACGGAAAGACCCCGUGAACCUUUACUAUAGCUUGACACUGAACAUUGAGCCUUGAUGUGUAGGAUAGGUGGGAGGCUUUGAAGUGUGGACGCCAGUCUGCAUGGAGCCGACCUUGAAAUACCACCCUUUAAUGUUUGAUGUUCUAACGUUGACCCGUAAUCCGGGUUGCGGACAGUGUCUGGUGGGUAGUUUGACUGGGGCGGUCUCCUCCUAAAGAGUAACGGAGGAGCACGAAGGUUGGCUAAUCCUGGUCGGACAUCAGGAGGUUAGUGCAAUGGCAUAAGCCAGCUUGACUGCGAGCGUGACGGCGCGAGCAGGUGCGAAAGCAGGUCAUAGUGAUCCGGUGGUUCUGAAUGGAAGGGCCAUCGCUCAACGGAUAAAAGGUACUCCGGGGAUAACAGGCUGAUACCGCCCAAGAGUUCAUAUCGACGGCGGUGUUUGGCACCUCGAUGUCGGCUCAUCACAUCCUGGGGCUGAAGUAGGUCCCAAGGGUAUGGCUGUUCGCCAUUUAAAGUGGUACGCGAGCUGGGUUUAGAACGUCGUGAGACAGUUCGGUCCCUAUCUGCCGUGGGCGCUGGAGAAUUGAGGGGGGCUGCUCCUAGUACGAGAGGACCGGAGUGGACGCAUCACUGGUGUUCGGGUUGUCAUGCCAAUGGCACUGCCCGGUAGCUAAAUGCGGAAGAGAUAAGUGCUGAAAGCAUCUAAGCACGAAACUUGCCCCGAGAUGAGUUCUCCCUGACUCCUUGAGAGUCCUGAAGGAACGUUGAAGACGACGACGUUGAUAGGCCGGGUGUGUAAGCGCAGCGAUGCGUUGAGCUAACCGGUACUAAUGAACCGUGAGGCUUAACCUU
RNAcentral lists this ribosomal RNA (2906 nucleotides) under Escherichia coli. RNAcentral describes it as "23S ribosomal RNA". It matches the Rfam family "Bacterial large subunit ribosomal RNA". Lineage: Bacteria; Pseudomonadati; Pseudomonadota; Gammaproteobacteria; Enterobacterales; Enterobacteriaceae. The record is from RNAcentral.